Molecule: long non-coding RNA, 2837 nt
Organism: Oncorhynchus kisutch (coho salmon)
Lineage: Eukaryota; Metazoa; Chordata; Actinopteri; Salmoniformes; Salmonidae
Exons: 3
Source: RefSeq, a predicted model, not a curated record
CCCCCCCCACAGCCUCCACCUCUGGUGCGCCACUCCAGGAACAUCUAUAUGGGCAAGCCUGAGGAGAGUGAUCCCCAGAGGAGAUGGCGCUGUGGUCCUCUCCCUCAGUCUCACUUGGCCCAGGGGUUGGUGGAGGCAGAGUAAGAUUGGAUUCAACCAUUGUCAACAUACUGUACAUCAAGUUGAAUUCCUUUAUACCAGGGGUUGGUGGAGGCAGUAAGAUUGGAUUCAACCAUUGUCAACAUACUGUACAUCAAGUUGAAUUCCUUCAUAACAGGGGUUGGUGGAGGCAGUAAGAUUGGAUUCAACCAUUGUCAACAUACUGUACAUCAAGUUGAAUUCCUUUUAUACCAGGGGUUGGUGGAGGCAGUAAGAUUGGAUUCAACCAUUGUCAACAUACUGUACAUCAAGUUGAAUUCCUUUAUACCAGGGGUUGGUGGAGGCAGUAAGAUUGGAUUCAACCAUUGUCAACAUACUGUACAUCAAGUUGAAUUCCUUCAUACCAGGGGUUGGUGGAGGCAGUAAGAUUGGAUUCAACCAUUGUCAACAUACUGUACAUCAAGUUGAAUUUCUUUAUACCAGGGGUUGGUGGAGGCAGUAAGAUUGGAUUCAACCAUUGUCAACAUACUGUACAUCAAGUUGAAUUCCUUUAUACCAGGGGUUGGUGGAGGCAGUAAGAUUGGAUUCAACCAUUGUCAACAUACUGUACAUCAAGUUGAAUUCCUUUAUAUUUGAACUGCAGUUUUAACUAUGACAUGACUUACCUGACUUUAUCCUCUUGGCCCCCUGGAGAGCAUAGGACAUCCACCAUGGUUCCCGACCUCCCUCUUCUCUGAGUCCUAUGGUGGGAAAUAUACAUUGACUUGAGUUCUCCAGAGAACUCCAGACACAGUUCAGAAGUGGCCUCCUAUUGGCCCAGCAGAAGUUGUCUGUGAGAAGUCAUCUUGAAAUCACUGUGACUGAAAUGGUCAAGAAGUUUGGGUCGCCUGCUGUCGUUGACAGAGAGGAGUCCAAUCACCCUCUUUAUGAAGAGGUUUUGGUUACGCAGGAAACGCGUACGGGUGGCCAAAGUGACAGGAGUGGGUAGCUCCAGUGCCAUAGAGGCCAGACGUAAGGCAUCGGGGGUGCUCCAAGGCUUUGCUCUGGGCAUGGAUAUCUACUUCACGAAGCAAGAGGAUGCUCCAAGGCUUCGCUCUGGGCAUGGAUAUCUACUUCACGAAGCAAGAGGAUGCUCCAAGGCUUCGCUCUGGGCAUGGAUAUCUACUUCACGAAGCAAGAGGAUGGUCCAAGGCUUCGCUCUGGGCAUGGAUAUCUACUUCACGAAGCAAGAGGAUGGUCCAAAGCUGAAGAAAGGACUGAAGUACAAGUUUGGGGAAAAAGAAACGCAAAGUGUCUCAGCAGCUGAAUGAAGGGCUGGAUGAAGUGUUCGAGGCCAAAGACAAGCUAGCGGAAAAUAAUCUCUUCCUCUGAGGUGGAGGAGACGGAGAAAGAGGAUGAGGAGCCAAAUCAAUGUUUAUUUGUAAGGUGAAAAUAAUAUAGGGUGUAAACUGUACAGUGAAAUUCUUACUUGGAAGCUCUCAACAUUCCAGUAACAUUACACUUUGUCAAAAAUAUUAGCAAUAAAAAAAGUCAUACAAAAUAUGUAGGAAAAUAAACCAUUUUUGGUUAUUUUAUUCUGAUCUGUUCUAUUCUGUCCUAUAAUGUUUUAUUCUAUUAAUAGUUGAGAUUGUCUGUGAAUAAGAAGGCAUGAUGAGGUUGUUAAUCAUGGUUUGUCAGGACUCUUGACAGCUGCUUUUCCAGAUGUAGAUAUUUUUACUAAUAACUUCAACAAAUGCACCACUCGAUUGACUCAAUAUGUAAUAAACAAAUAACCUUGAAUUCAUUAUAUAUACAUCUCCGUCAACAAAAUUGAGAGACAAUAUUUUUGCUCAAACUAUAUUUUUUUCAAAUGAUCUUUCUAAAGAACCAUUUCUAUAUUGUCACGUAUACCAAACAUUAGGAACCUAUUCCUAAUAUUCAGUUGCACCCCCCCCCCCCCCCCCCCCCCCUUUCACUCCCAGAACAGCCUCAAUUCGUUGGGGCAUGGGCUCUACAAGGUGUUGAAAGCGUUCCACAGGGAUGCUGGCCCAUGUUGACUCCAAUGUUUCUCACGGUUGUGUCAAGUUGACUGGAUGUCCUUUGGGUAGUGGACCAUUCCUGAUACACACGGGAAACUGUUGAGCGUGAAAAACCCAGCAGUGUUGCAGUUCUUGAUACAAACCAGUGUGCCUGUCUUGCCCAUUUCCCCCUCUGAAUGGUAUACAUACACAAUCCAUGUCUCAAUUGUCUCUAGGCUUAAAAAUCCAUCUUUAUUCUGUCUCCUCCCCUUCAUCUACACUGAAGUGAAUUUAACAAGUGACAUCAAUAAGGGAUCAUGGCUCUUACCUGGAUUUAACUAGUCAGUCUGUGAUGGAAAUAACAGGUGUUCUUAAUGUUUUGUAUACUCAGUGUAUAUCUGUACUAUACAUUUGUUGUUAAAAAUGUCAAAUAAAUUGACAUUUUUAUUUUUACUACCCACUAGACCCUGACUUUGAAUACCACUGGUCAAAUGGAACCGUAACAUUGUCUGUUUCUCAAAUGGCACCAUAUAGGGCUGUGGUCAAAAGUAGUGCACUACAUGGGGAAUAGGGUACUAGUUUGAUGUACCAUAGACAAUGGAGAACUCAGUGACCUCCACUACUUCUUUAUUUGGCUUUUCAACCACCAGGUGGAGAGAUUGGACAUGUAUUCAUUAUAAUGUAAUAAUGAGUUGUCAUCAGAAUAUAACUAAACCAUAUCUGUUUAUAAAAUUGAAAUUA